AUGAGUUUCACCACUCACUCCACCUUCUCCAACUACUGGUCCCUGGGCUCCAUCCAGGCGCCCAGCUGCGGCACCCAGCCAGUCAGCAGCACGGCCAGCGUCUAUACAGGCACCGGAGGCUCUGGUUCCCAGAUCUCCGUGUCCCGCUCCACCGGUUUCCAGGGCAGCUUGGGGUACAGGAGCCUGGCCAUGGGAUGGCCAGGGUUCUAGCAGGAAUGGGAGGCAUCCAGAACGAGGAGGAGACCAUGCAAAGCCUGAACCUACCCUGGUUCAAUGCCUGACCUCCUACCUGGACAGAGUGAGGAGCCUGGAGACCGAGAACCAGAGGCUAGAGAGCAAAAUCCAGGAGCACCUGGAUAAGAAGGGACCCCAGGUCAGAGAUUGGGGCCAUUACUUCAAGACCAUCGAGGACCUGAGGGCUCAGAUCUUCUCAAGUACUGUGGACAAUGCCCACAUUGUUCUGCAGAUCGACAAUGCCCAUCUUGCUGCUGAUAGAGUCAAGUAUGAGACAGAGCUGGCCAUGUAUCAGUCUGUGGAGAGCAACAUCCAUGGGCUCUGCAAGGUCAAUGACACCAGUGUCACUCGGCUUCAGCUACAGAGAUUGAGGCUCUCAAGGAGGAGCUGCUCUUCAUGAAGAACCGUGAAGAGGAAGUAAAGGCCUACAAGCCCAGACUGCCAGCUCUGGGUUGACGAUGAAGGUAGAUACCCCCAAAUCUCAGGACCUCGCCAAGAUCACAGGAGACAUCCUAAUACGAAGAGCUGGCUCAGAAGAACUGAGAGGAGCUAGACAAGUACUGGUCUCAGCAGAUUGAGGAGAACACCACAGUGGUCACUAUGCAGUCUGCCAAGGUUGGGGUUGCUAAGGUGACGCUCACGGAGCUGAGAGGUACGGUCCAGUCCUUGGAGACUGACCUGGACUCGAUGAGAAAUCUGAAGGCCAGCUUGGAGAACAGCCUGAGGGAGGUGGAGGCCUGCUAUACCCUGCAGAUGGAGCAGCUCAACAGGAUCCUGCUGUACCUGGAGUUGGAGCUGGCACAGGCCGGGGCAGAGAGGCAGCACCAGGCCCAGGAGUACAAGGCCCUGCUGAACAUCAAGGUCAAGCUGUAGGCUGAGAUCACCACCUACCGCCGCCUGCUGGAAGACAGCCAGGACUUCAAUCUUGGUGACGCCCUGGACAGCAGCAACUCCAUGCAAACCAUCCAAAAGACCCCACCCGCCA
RNAcentral lists this long non-coding RNA (1219 nucleotides) under Homo sapiens (human). RNAcentral describes it as "non-protein coding lnc-TTC9-3:1". The record is from RNAcentral. Lineage: Eukaryota; Metazoa; Chordata; Mammalia; Primates; Hominidae.